ACCUGGGAACUGCAUUGGUGACUGGCAGGCUAGAGUAUGGCAGAGGGGGGUAGAAUUCCACGUGUAGCAGUGAAAUGCGUAGAGAUGUGGAGGAAUACCGAUGGCGAAGGCAGCCCCCUGGGCCAAUACUGACGCUCAGGCACGAAAGCGUGGGGAGCAAACAGGAUUAGAUACCCUGGUAGUCCACGCCCUAAACGAUGCUCACUAGGUGUUGGGGAAGCGAUUCCUUGGUACCGUAGCUAACGCGUGAAGUGAGCCGCCUGGGGAGUACGGCCGCAAGGUUAAAACUCAAAGGAAUUGACGGGGACCCGCACAAGCGGUGGAUGAUGUGGAUUAAUUCGAUGCAACGCGAACAACCUUACCUACCCUUGACAUGUCCGGAAGCCUGCUGAAAGGUGGGUGUGCCCGAAAGGG
This 414-nucleotide ribosomal RNA is filed under the name uncultured bacterium. RNAcentral's name for it is "bacterial SSU rRNA". It matches the Rfam family "Bacterial small subunit ribosomal RNA", at positions 612 to 1025 of the family's 1533-position model. The record is from RNAcentral.